GAUGAACGCUGGUGGCGUGCCUAAUACAUGCAAGUCGAGCGAACAGAUGAGGAGCCUGCUCCUCUGACGUUAGCGGCGGACGGGUGAGUAACACGUGGAUAACCUACCUAUAAGACUGGGAUAACUUCGGGAAACCGGAGCUAAUACCGGAUAAUAUAUUGAACCGCAUGGUUCAAUAGUGAAAGACGGUUUUGCUGUCACUUAUAGAUGGAUCCGCGCCGCAUUAGCUAGUUGGUAAGGUAACGGCUUACCAAGGCAACGAUGCGUAGCCGACCUGAGAGGGUGAUCGGCCACACUGGAACUGAGACACGGUCCAGACUCCUACGGGAGGCAGCAGUAGGGAAUCUUCCGCAAUGGGCGAAAGCCUGACGGAGCAACGCCGCGUGAGUGAUGAAGGUCUUCGGAUCGUAAAACUCUGUUAUUAGGGAAGAACAAAUGUGUAAGUAACUAUGCACGUCUUGACGGUACCUAAUCAGAAAGCCACGGCUAACUACGUG
RNAcentral lists this ribosomal RNA (497 nucleotides) under uncultured bacterium. RNAcentral's name for it is "partial 16S ribosomal RNA". It matches the Rfam family "Bacterial small subunit ribosomal RNA", at positions 28 to 507 of the family's 1533-position model. The record is from RNAcentral.